UACAGAGACUGCAAGCGUUAUUCGGAUUCACUGGGCGUAAAGGGUGCGCAGGCGGCCAAGUGUGUUAGGCGUGAAAGCCCGGGGCUUAACCCCGGAAUUGCACCUAAAACUACAUGGCUAGAGCAUUGGAGAGGGUAGCGGAAUUCACGGUGUAGCAGUGAAAUGCGUAGAUACCGUGAGGAACAUCCAGAGGCGAAGGCGGCUACCUGGACAAUUGCUGACGCUCAGGCACGAAAGCGUGGGGAGCAAAAGGG
Molecule: ribosomal RNA, 254 nt
Filed under: uncultured bacterium
Lineage: Bacteria
Description: partial 16S ribosomal RNA
Rfam family: Bacterial small subunit ribosomal RNA
Source: RNAcentral